AGGGAAUCUUCCGCAAUGGGCGAAAGCCUGACGGAGCAACGCCGCGUGAGUGAUGAAGGUCUUCGGAUCGUAAAACUCUGUUAUUAGGGAAGAACAUAUGUGUAAGUAACUGUGCACAUCUUGACGGUACCUAAUCAGAAAGCCACGGCUAACUACGUACCAGCAGCCGCGGUAAUACGUAGGUGGCAAGCGUUAUCCGGAAUUAUUGGGCGUAAAGCGCGCGUAGGCGGUUUUUUAAGUCUGAUGUGAAAGCCCACGGCUCAACCGUGGAGGGUCAUUGGAAACUGGAAAACUUGAGUGCAGAAGAGGAAAGUGGAAUUCCAUGUGUAGCGGUGAAAUGCGCAGAGAUAUGGAGGAACACCAGUGGCGAAGGCGACUUUCUGGUCUGUAACUGACGCUGAUGUGCGAAAGCGUGGGGAUCAAACAGGAUUAGAUACCCUGGUAGUCCACGCCGUAAACGAUGAGUGCUAAGUGUUAGGGGGUUUCCGCCCCUUAGUGCUGCAGCUAACGCAUUAAGCACUCCGCCUGGGGAGUACGACCGCAAGGUUG
Molecule: ribosomal RNA, 549 nt
Filed under: uncultured bacterium
Lineage: Bacteria
Description: bacterial SSU rRNA
Rfam family: Bacterial small subunit ribosomal RNA
Source: RNAcentral